GCUAGAGAGAAAACUGAUCUGGGAAUAACUAUUCAAAACUAGUUAUGGCAAUGCAGAUUUCUAAGAAAACAACAUUUCACAAGAGUGAGAAGAAAAAAUGGUAAGAUACUGAAAAAUACUCAAUCUUAAAGUCUGCCUAAUCUCAGUUGCUACUCACUUUAGAUAUACUGAUCUCAACCCACAGAAGGAAUUUUUUUUAAAAGAAGGUACUGUACUAACUUUUUACAUUACAAAAUCUGGCUCAGUUGCAAUCCAGACAUCCAACAGAGCAGGUCUCCUUUGGACUCCUUGGGAAUGGAUUUUUACCACAGAGAAGAAAUGAGUAGAGAGCUCAAGCUGGCUUUUCUCCUUCUGUGGAGACUUGUACUUGCUCCAGGGCUGCUCAUGGACCCCAGGGCCCACUGUUCGCUCCUGUUCCCACCAUCCUCUGAACCAUUGGAGACUGUGCAUUGCUCAGGAAGACAUUCUGGAUUUGGAGAGCUGGUGCUUCUGGUGACAUUGAGAAAUCUCUCAGCUGCCUGGCUAGCUACCUUCCAAGAAUCUGCUAACAUGUGCUAACAAAAAUCAAGAUCUCUCCUGAAACUGAAGCACACAGAACAGUGCCUAAAAUCAAUUUGUAUUGUAGUUUGAAAUCAUCUUUAACAACCCAGACAAAUGCAAAUGCAUGCAAUCAGUUUAUAUAUGCAAGAUUGUGUCAGUAGCAUGCAUUAUGCUUUCAAUAGAACUAUCAGGGAUGUGAACAGUUUUUGAUGUUAAGUUUACAAAGUUGUUUAAUAAUUUCUAUUCAUGAGUAUUCAAAUAAAACAGACUAUAUACAAAACA
Molecule: long non-coding RNA, 822 nt
Filed under: Cyanistes caeruleus (blue tit)
Lineage: Eukaryota; Metazoa; Chordata; Aves; Passeriformes; Paridae
Description: lncRNA (ENSCCEG00000010475.1)
Source: RNAcentral